This 427-nucleotide ribosomal RNA is filed under the name uncultured bacterium. RNAcentral's name for it is "partial 16S ribosomal RNA". It matches the Rfam family "Bacterial small subunit ribosomal RNA", at positions 355 to 774 of the family's 1533-position model. The record is from RNAcentral.
UGGGGAAUAUUGGACAAUGGGCGAAAGCCUGAUCCAGCCAUGCCGCGUGUGUGAAGAAGGUCUUCGGAUUGUAAAGCACUUUAAGUUGGGAGGAAGGGCAUUAACCUAAUACGUUAGUGUUUUGACGUUACCGACAGAAUAAGCACCGGCUAACUCUGUGCCAGCAGCCGCGGUAAUACACAGGGUGCAAGCGUUAAUCGGAAUUACUGGGCGUAAAGCGCGCGUAGGUGGUUUGUUAAGUUGGAUGUGAAAUCCCCGGGCUCAACCUGGGAACUGCAUUCAAAACUGACUGACUAGAGUAUGGUAGAGGGUGGUGGAAUUUCCUGUGUAGCGGUGAAAUGCGUAGAUAUAGGAAGGAACACCAGUGGCGAAGGCGACCACCUGGACUAAUACUGACACUGAGGUGCGAAAGCGUGGGUAGCAAACA